Molecule: long non-coding RNA, 1337 nt
Organism: Chiroxiphia lanceolata (lance-tailed manakin)
Lineage: Eukaryota; Metazoa; Chordata; Aves; Passeriformes; Pipridae
Exons: 2
Source: RefSeq, a predicted model, not a curated record
ACCACCACGGUGACCCCCCCGCUGCCCCUCCGGUGUUCCCCCGCUGCCCCUCCGGUGCUCCCCCGGCACGGCCCGUCUGGGAUCGUGAGAGAGAGUCGAUCUCAGUGUGUGAGCCCUUGCCGCGACACCCCUUCCCACACCGCGUGCGUUGCUUGCCCUGUGUGACACACCCCGCAAGCUCGUUACCAUGCCCAGAUGCAGAGGUGUCUGCAAUGAGACAAUCAUUGGAUUCUCAGCAUUUUCACUGGCAGUUCUUGGACCAGCUGGAUGGUUCUUGUGCCACCUUCCAAGCUAUAAAAAGAAAUAGAAAACAUCCCUUCAAAAUUAACAUCUGAAGGCUGCAAUAAACUGUAAUGCUCCAAACUUGGAUUCUCUUGAAAGUGCUGAUACAGCAUAUGGCUAACUAAAGUCCCAGUUCACACACUAUUAUCCAUCCUGUAUGCCAGGUCCAGGUCACAAAGCUUUUGCAGAUUUUGUAGAACUGAGCCCAGAAAUUAAAUGGUGUAGGAAUGCAAAAUAGUGGCAGGUCUACUCUGCCAUCACCUGCUGCACUGAACCAGUCUGUGUGUACCAGUCUGAAUCUGUCAUCAAGUACUGUGGGAAAUGGAAGAUCGGCAAGGAGGAUUGUAAACACGCUUGAGUGACCUGCAGUUUGGGUCUCAAAAAUACAUAUAUCAUACUAAUUGUCGUUUGACCUUGUGUGUUAGACAAGUAAAACAUCUGUGUCUAGGCCUGUGAUAGCCUUAGAGGCACCCUGUCAAACAUGCUUGAGAUUCUUGCCCAGCUGUGGGCAAGGUUAAAGCACAGUGGUAAAUUAUGCUUGUGCAAAUCCCUGAAAUACAGGAGAAAAAAGCAGGUUGAGUGAUCCUAUGGCAUGGAUAAAGCUUCACAGUGCCUGUGUUCUCGCUUGUGUGUCUCUUCUGACUGCUGCUUCAGUGAUCCCUCGUUGGUGAGGUAAUAAAAAUGAAUUUACUCUUUGCAUUUAAUCUGUGGUUUUGUGGUUGUUCCUGUGUCCUGCCUGUGUCAGCUCUUACUGGUACUGUCAAAGCUUUAAACUAAAUAAAUGGGAGAAAAUACAGAAAAAAAAUAUUUUUAUAGUCAUCUCAGACAAAAAUUCGGAGAGUUUAAGAUUAUUUUCUCCAAAGUUUCUCUUUAAUCUUUACACAUGUUCUUUUGGUGUGUUCCCCCACCCCAUCUAUUCUUCCACAAGAAUAAAUGUUUUUCUGCAGGUCAUGAUUGUUAGAUACUUCACUUUAUUUUCAAUGUCUAGAUUAAAAUUUGUGACAUUUGAGAUAUUUUCCCAUGAUUACUAUUUAUAAUAAAUGCUAUGAUAAAUA